RNAcentral lists this transfer RNA (72 nucleotides) under Bos taurus (domestic cattle). It matches the Rfam family "tRNA". Rfam says of the family: Transfer RNA (tRNA) molecules are approximately 80 nucleotides in length. The record is from Rfam by way of RNAcentral. RNAcentral also lists the same sequence under 3 other names. Lineage: Eukaryota; Metazoa; Chordata; Mammalia; Artiodactyla; Bovidae.
UCCCUGGUGGUCUAAUGGCUAAGUCUCCACACUCCCAACGUAGGGGCCUGGGUUUGAUUCCUGGUCAGGGAA